CAACCUGCCGUCUACUCUUGGACAGCCUUCUGAAAGGAAGAUUAAUACAAGAUGGCAUCAUGAGUCCGCAUGUUCACAUGAUUAAAGGUAUUCCGGUAGACGAUGGGGAUGCGUUCCAUUAGAUAGUAGGCGGGGUAACGGCCCACCUAGUCUUCGAUGGAUAGGGGUUCUGAGAGGAAGGUCCCCCACAUUGGAACUGAGACACGGUCCAAACUCCUACGGGAGGCAGCAGUGAGGAAUAUUGGUCAAUGGGCGCAGGCCUGAACCAGCCAAGUAGCGUGAAGGAUGACUGCCCUAUGGGUUGUAAACUUCCUUUAUAAAGGAAUAAAGUCGGGUAUGUAUACCCGUUUGCAUGUACUUUAUGAAUAAGGAUCGGCUAACUCCGUGCCAGCAGCCGCGGUAAUACGGAGGAUCCGAGCGUUAUCCGGAUUUAUUGGGUUUAAAGGGAGCGUAGAUGGAUGUUUAAGUCAGUUGUGAAAAUUUGCGGCUCAACCGUAAAAUUGCAGUUGAUACUGGAUAUCUUGAGUGCAGUUGAGGCAGGCGGAAUUCGUGGUGUAGCGGUGAAAUGCUUAGAUAUCACGAAGAACUCCGAUUG
Molecule: ribosomal RNA, 595 nt
Filed under: uncultured Bacteroidota bacterium
Lineage: Bacteria; Pseudomonadati; Bacteroidota
Description: bacterial SSU rRNA
Rfam family: Bacterial small subunit ribosomal RNA
Source: RNAcentral